RNAcentral lists this ribosomal RNA (935 nucleotides) under uncultured bacterium. RNAcentral's name for it is "bacterial SSU rRNA". It matches the Rfam family "Bacterial small subunit ribosomal RNA", at positions 536 to 1482 of the family's 1533-position model. The record is from RNAcentral.
GGAAGACGUUCAGAUUUACUGGGCGUAAGCGCGUGUAGGCGGCUGGUUAGGUGUGAUGUGAAAUCUUCCGGCUCAACCGGAAAACUGCAUUGCAAACCGGCCUGGCUAGAGUGCAGGAGAGGGAAGCGGAAUUCCAGGUGUAGCGGUGAAAUGCGUAGAUAUCUGGAGGAACACCUGUGGCGAAGGCGGCUUCCUGGCCUGCAACUGACGCUGAGACGCGAAAGCGUGGGGAGCGAACCGGAUUAGAUACCCGGGUAGUCCACGCCCUAAACGUUGCGAACUAGGUGUUGGUCGGAUUGACCCGAUCAGUGCCGCAGCUAACGCAUUAAGUUCGCCGCCUGGGGACUACGGCCGCAAGGUUAAAACUCAAAGGAAUAGGCGGGGGCCCGCACAAGCAGCGGAGCGUGUGGUUUAAUUCGAGGCAACGCGAAGAACCUUACCUGGGCUUGACAUGCAGAGGAAACUUUCGUGAAAGCGAGAGCCUCCCGCAAGGGACUUCUGCGCAGGUGGUGCAUGGCUGUCGUCAGCUCGUGCCGUGAGGUGUUGGGUUAAGUCCCGCAACGAGCGCAACCCCUGUCCUUAGUUGAAUUUUCUAGGGAGACUGCCGGGCGAAACCCGGAGGAAGGUGGGGAUGACGUCAAGUCCGCAUGCCCUUUAUGUCCAGGGCUACACACACGCUACAAUGGCCGGUACAACGGGUUCCAACACGGCGACGUGAAGGCAAUCCCUAAAAGCCGGUCUCAGUUCGGAUUGCAGGCUGCAACUCGCCUGCAUGAAGUCGGAGUUGCCAGUAACCGCUGGUCAGCACACAGCGGUGAAUACGUUCCCGGGCCUUGCACUCACCGCCCGUCACAUCACCCGAGUCUGGUGCUCCCGAAGUCGCUGGCCGAACCCGUAAGGACGGAGCGCCGAACGAGUGCCCGGUGAGGGGGGUG